This is a non-coding RNA of Triticum aestivum (bread wheat), 123 nucleotides long. NCBI's taxonomy places the organism in Eukaryota, Viridiplantae, Streptophyta, Magnoliopsida, Poales, Poaceae. The record is from Rfam.
CAAAUACUCCCUCUGUCCCAAAUUUCUUGUCUUAGAUUUCUCUAGAUAAAAUUAAUCUGUGAGUUGAUACAUCUGUAUCUAGACAAAUCUAAGGCAAGAAUUUUGGGACGGAGGGAGUACUUU